GACGAACGCUGGCGGCAUGCUUAACACAUGCGAGUCGAACGGAAAGGCCCUGCUUUGGUGGGGUGCUCGAGUGGCGACCGGGUGAGUAACACGUGAGUACCCUGCCACUGACUUUGGGAUAACUUCAGGCAACUGGGGCUAAUACCGGCUAGGAGCUACUGCUUCAUGGUGGGGGUUGGAUAGUUUCGGUGGUUGGGGAUGGACUCGCGGCUUAUCAGCUUGUUUGUGUGGUAGUGGCUUACCAAGGCUUUGACGGGUAGCCGGCCUGAUAGGGUGACCGGCCACAUUGGGACUGAGAUACGGCCCAGACUCCUCCGGGAGGCAGCAGUGGGGUAUAGUGCAUAAUGGGCGGAAGCCUGAUGCAGCAACGCCGCGUGCGGGAUGACGGCCUUCGGGUUGUAUACCGCUUUCGCCUGUGACGAAGCGUGAGUGACGGUAAUGGGUAAAGAAGCACCGGCUAACUACGUG
RNAcentral lists this ribosomal RNA (468 nucleotides) under uncultured bacterium. Its description in RNAcentral is "partial 16S ribosomal RNA". It matches the Rfam family "Bacterial small subunit ribosomal RNA", at positions 28 to 507 of the family's 1533-position model. The record is from RNAcentral.